AUGUACUUCCAUGUACAUUCCGGUUCCUGCGCUCCGGCCGUCCCCACCCUGCAGCCGCUCGCGACAUUUGUUGAGAC
This 77-nucleotide small RNA is filed under the name Sulfuricella sp. Its description in RNAcentral is "Xanthomonas sRNA sX9". It matches the Rfam family "Xanthomonas sRNA sX9". Lineage: Bacteria; Pseudomonadati; Pseudomonadota; Betaproteobacteria; Nitrosomonadales; Sulfuricellaceae. The record is from Rfam by way of RNAcentral.